CGUGAGAUGUUGGGUUAAGUCCCGCAACGAGCGCAACCCUUGUCCUUUGUUGCCAGCGGGUAAAGCCGGGAACUCAAAGGAGACUGCCAGUGACAAACUGGAGGAAGGCAGGGAUGACGUCAAGUCAUCAUGGCCCUUACGGUCAGGGCUACACACGUGCUACAAUGGGGCGUACAGAGGGAAACGAUACCGCGAGGUGGAGUGGAACCCAAAAAGCGUCCCUAAGUUCGGAUUGGAAGUCUGCAACUCGACUCCA
This 256-nucleotide ribosomal RNA is filed under the name uncultured bacterium. RNAcentral's name for it is "partial 16S ribosomal RNA". It matches the Rfam family "Bacterial small subunit ribosomal RNA", at positions 1066 to 1320 of the family's 1533-position model. The record is from RNAcentral.